CAGUCGCCGCGGGAAUACGUAGGUCCCGAGCGUUGUCCGGAUUUAUUGGGCGUAAAGGGAGCGCAGGCGGUUUAGUAAGUCUGAAGUUAAAGGCAUUGGCUCAACCAAUGUAUGCUUUGGAAACUGUUAGACUUGAGUGCAGAAGGGGAGAGUGGAAUUCCAUGUGUAGCGGUGAAAUGCGUAGAUAUAUGGAGGAACACCGGUGGCGAAUGCGGCUCUCUGGUCUGUCACUGACGCUGAGGCUCGAAAGCGUGGGUAGCGAACAGGAUUAGAUACCCGCGUAGUCCCUGUCUCUUAUACA
This 301-nucleotide ribosomal RNA is filed under the name uncultured bacterium. RNAcentral describes it as "partial 16S ribosomal RNA". It matches the Rfam family "Bacterial small subunit ribosomal RNA", at positions 509 to 808 of the family's 1533-position model. The record is from RNAcentral.